CGAAUUCGAGUAGUGAAAACAUCGUGGCGAAGACCCAUCACUAGAUCCCAGGAAAUCGCAACAGGAAGCACCCUUCGCCAUGAUGGGAAUCGGACUCACCCGUCGGAAGAAGAAAACAACACAAACAUCGCAUUAAAAAAUAUUAAUUCACCAAAAAAAAUUUUUUCUUUCGACCAUGGACUUGACACUGGGUUUGACCAACUUGCCAGUCGUCACCUGCUGAAAUUUGCAACCGGAGACGCGGAGGAGGGGGGAAUUUAAGAAAUACAAAGAGCGGGAGGGAAGUGUUUGAAAAAGAGAGGGAUGCCACCACAUCAGGGGAGGCUGGGACUUUCCUUGGCCGGCGACGAAAGGGGGGAAUAAGGAGGGUGUGGCUUAAUGUAAGAAAUCAAUGAUUCAGCCGCCCCUGUAAGAAUAGUUGGCUUUCUAAUAACGGCAUCGCUCCUGGAUACGAAGGAGGAAAAGGAUUUUUCCCACCCUCGAUGAUUUUUUACCCCAAUUGGGGGGUAAAAGCGACCCCGGGAAGCAUAAUUCAUAACUUAAAUUACUAAAAUACCCCAUUAAUUUCUGCACUGAUUUCUAACACGAACAUUAAGAAUAUAUACUUGCUACCUUUGCAAUUUAUGGCUGGCAAGACUUAGAAAUUGCGUUAUUCUGUUACGUGAAAUUUAAUUAUGACGAGAGGGCUGGAAUUUCACAAAAACACGUUUUUUGCCCUUUUAAUUAAGACGCAAUAAAGAUGAGAAAAAAUUUUCUACAAAAAUAAAAAAGUUAACAUGCAUCCUAACAAGUCAUUACGAAACUAAAAAUGCAGUACUGCCAAAUGGGACUGAAAUCUGUGAAAAAUUACUAUAAAAAAUCUCAAUUCAAUCCGAUCAAAAGUCAAGUUAAAAAUAUGUAAAAAAUACAAUUUUUAUAUACUGGAUGAGUGUUCAAAAAGUGCAGUUUUCAGUUACCAAAUCAGAUUUUAUUUUGGAGAAAAUCGUAGAAUAUUUUUAGCUGACUCACUCUAUAUCUGAUACAAUUUUUUAUAUUUGCUCUCCAGAUAAAAGCGAAUACCUUCAAAAUAUUUUUUUCUUAAUCUUUGACUUUUCUUGAUUCUUAAAAAAUAUCUUUUGUGUCUCAAUUGUCAAAUUUAAUUUCGUUUAUUAUAUUCUGUCCUUGUUUGUUUAAUAAAACUGAGAAUUUACUGAUCUUUUAUUAACACUUAAGUUUAUAGUAGCUGUAAUUUCGACAAAAUUUAUUUUUACAACUAAAUUUUGUUUAGU
Tribolium madens (black flour beetle) is the source of this 1268-nucleotide long non-coding RNA. RefSeq lists it as uncharacterized. The record is from RefSeq and is a predicted model, not a curated record. The transcript has 3 exons. NCBI's taxonomy places the organism in Eukaryota, Metazoa, Arthropoda, Insecta, Coleoptera, Tenebrionidae.